Molecule: ribosomal RNA, 414 nt
Filed under: Tritia corniculum
Lineage: Eukaryota; Metazoa; Mollusca; Gastropoda; Neogastropoda; Nassariidae
Description: partial 16S ribosomal RNA
Rfam family: Bacterial large subunit ribosomal RNA
Source: RNAcentral
CUGACCGUGCAAAGGUAGCAUAAUCAUUUGCCUUAUAAUUGAAGGCUAGUAUGAAUGGUUUGACAUGAAUGUAGCUGUCUCUUUAUAAUUUAAUAGAAUUUUAUCUUCAGGUGAAGAAGCCUGAAUUCAAUUAAAAGACAAGAAGACCCUAUCGAGCUUGAAAAAAAUUGAUGGAAUUAAAGUCAAUGUAGUUAAAAGGCUAUCUAUCGCAUAUUUUAGUUGGGGCGACUGAGGAACAUAAAAAGCUUCCUUUAAAAAUAUUAGUUUAAGUCAAACUAGAAUUGAUCCAAAAUAUUUUGAUUAAAGGAAUUAGUUACCGUAGGGAUAACAGCAUUAUCUUUUUUAAGAGCUCAUAUCGAAAAAAAGGUUUGUGACCUCGAUGUUGGACCAGAAUAUCCUAAAGGUGCAGCAGCC